UCCCUUAGUAACUGCGAGUGAAGUGGGAAAAGCUCAAAUUUAAAAUCUGGCAGUCAUUUGGCUGUUCGAGUUGUAAUCUAGAGAAGUGUUGCCCGUGCUGGACCAUGUACAAGUCUCCUGGAAUGGAGCAUCACAGAGGGUGAGAAUCCUGUCUUUGACAUGGACUACCAGUGCUUUUGUGGUAUGCUCUCAAAGAGUCGAGUUGUUUGGGAAUGCAGCUCAAAAUGGG
Molecule: ribosomal RNA, 229 nt
Filed under: Inocybe sp.
Lineage: Eukaryota; Fungi; Basidiomycota; Agaricomycetes; Agaricales; Inocybaceae
Description: partial large subunit ribosomal RNA
Rfam family: Eukaryotic large subunit ribosomal RNA
Source: RNAcentral